RNAcentral lists this microRNA precursor (124 nucleotides) under Hordeum vulgare. RNAcentral describes it as "microRNA MIR1122". It matches the Rfam family "MIR1120/MIR1122 microRNA precursor family". Lineage: Eukaryota; Viridiplantae; Streptophyta; Magnoliopsida; Poales; Poaceae. The record is from RNAcentral.
UACAUACUCCCUCCGUCCGAAAAUACUUGUCCUAGAGAUGAAUGUAUCUAGACUUAUUUUAGUUAUAGAUACAUCCAUUAUAUCCAUUUCUAGGACAAAUAUUUCCGGACGGAGGGAGUAUGAU